UACGGAGGGUGCAAGCGUUAUCCGGAUUCACUGGGUUUAAAGGGUGCGUAGGCGGGUUGGUAAGUCCGUGGUGAAAUCCCCAAGCUUAACUUGGGAACUGCCGUGGAUACUAUCAAUCUUGAAUAUCGUGGAGGUAAGCGGAAUAUGUCAUGUAGCGGUGAAAUGCUUAGAUAUGACAUAGAACACCAAUUGCGUAGGCAGCCUACUACACGAUCAUUGACGCUGAGGCACGAAAGCGUGGGGAGCAAACAGG
This 253-nucleotide ribosomal RNA is filed under the name uncultured bacterium. RNAcentral's name for it is "partial 16S ribosomal RNA". It matches the Rfam family "Bacterial small subunit ribosomal RNA", at positions 524 to 776 of the family's 1533-position model. The record is from RNAcentral.